Molecule: long non-coding RNA, 650 nt
Filed under: Dromaius novaehollandiae (emu)
Lineage: Eukaryota; Metazoa; Chordata; Aves; Casuariiformes; Dromaiidae
Description: lncRNA (ENSDNVG00000014953.1)
Source: RNAcentral
AUUCCCACUGCUGCAUAUCUGCUAUAGAGGCCUUUGAGUAGGAAAGAGCAGCAGUUAAACGCACAGGGAGCUGUUUGUCCCUUKCAUCCAAGAAGUGGAGUAUUUAUUUACCAAAUAAUACAUAAAUGCUUGUUGAAAAAUGUUGUCAUGAUGUUUUUCAAAGGAAACAAGAAAAUCUCAAUGCUCAAUCUCAGCUAGAUCCCUGCUAAAGUAGGACACCCUCCCUUAAGCCUUGAAAAACAGGACAUUUGAUAGUUACUUUUCUUUCUUCUCCCUAUUCCCCACCCCAAAGACAACACAGGUCACUGGUUCGGUGGCAAAAAAGAAAGAAAAAAGAAAAAGAAAAAGGGGCGAAUCAAGGCUUGAUGUUUGGAGGAUAAAUACCAAGACAGCAAGGUGAAAUUUCAGAGGUCUCUUACGGAGAUUCCGCUCCAUGCCAUGUUUGAAACUUAAUACAGCAUGAUGAUGUGCACGAGCAGUGGUUAUUCUUCUCAUAGAAUCUUAUGUCCUUCUCACAAGAAAAAAAUGAAAUAUGAAUUCUCCGUGUGUCUGCCACCUCAUCUUUGGAAAGAGACCCUUCAAAGGCCCUUUUUCUGAGCACCUAGGAGCAUGUUAAGAUUCUGGCUGCUGCAACUGAAUGAAAACUACAG